CCUACGGGAGGCAGCAGUGGGGGAUAUUGCACAAUGGGGGAAACCCUGAUGCAGCGACGCCGCGUGUGGGAAGACGGUCCUCUGGAUUGUAAACCACUGUCCCCAGGGACGAAGAUGACGGUACCUGGGGAGGAAGCUCCGGCUAACUACGUGCCAGCAGCCGCGGUACUACGUAGGGAGCGAGCGUUGUCCGGAAUUACUGGGUGUAAAGGGAGCGUAGGCGGGACUGCAAGUUGGGUGUCAAAUCUACCGGCUCAACCGGUAGCCGCACUCAAAACUGCAGUUCUUGAGUGAAGUAGAGGCAGGCGGAAUUCCUAGUGUAGCGGUGAAAUGCGUAGAUAUUAGGAGGAACACCAGUGGCGAAGGCGGCCUGCUGGGCUUUGACUGACGCUGAGGCUCGAAAGUGUGGGGAGCAAACAGGAUUAGAUACCCGAGUAGUC
This 440-nucleotide ribosomal RNA is filed under the name uncultured bacterium. Its description in RNAcentral is "partial 16S ribosomal RNA". It matches the Rfam family "Bacterial small subunit ribosomal RNA", at positions 338 to 795 of the family's 1533-position model. The record is from RNAcentral.